Molecule: ribosomal RNA, 497 nt
Filed under: uncultured bacterium
Lineage: Bacteria
Description: partial 16S ribosomal RNA
Rfam family: Bacterial small subunit ribosomal RNA
Source: RNAcentral
GAUGAACGCUGGCGGCGUGCCUAAUACAUGCAAGUCGAGCGAACAGACGAGGAGCUUGCUCCUCUGACGUUAGCGGCGGACGGGUGAGUAACACGUGGAUACCCUAUCUAUAAGACUGGGAUAACUUCGGGAAACCGGAGCUAAUAUCGGAUAAUAUAUUGAACCGCAUGGUUCAUUAGUGCAAGCCGGUUUUGCUGUCACUUAUAGAUGGAUCCGCGCCGCAUUAGCUAGUUGGUAAGGUAACGGCUUACCAAGGCAACGAUGCGUAGCCGACCUGAGAGGGUGAUCAGCCACACUGGAACUGAGACACGGUCCAGACUCCUACGGGAGGCAGCAGUAGGGAAUCUUCCACAAUGGGCGAAAGCCUGACGGAGCAACGCCGCGUGUGUGAUGAAGGUCUUCGGAUCGUAAAACUCUUUUAGUAGGGAAGAACAAAAGUGUGAGAAACUAUGCACGUCUUGACGGUACCUAAACAGAAAGCCACGGCUAACUACGUG